This 1590-nucleotide small RNA is filed under the name Pan troglodytes (chimpanzee). Lineage: Eukaryota; Metazoa; Chordata; Mammalia; Primates; Hominidae. The record is from RNAcentral.
GAGGGGCGGGAGCCCGCGGGGGCCGCGCCCUUCUCUCGCUUCGGACUGCGCAACGCUGCGCUCUGUGCUGACAGGCGGAUAAAACGGUCCCAUCAAGGCUGAGAAAAAGCACACCAGAUAUUGGCACAGCGUGGGCAGUGGGGCCUACAGGAUGACUUAGUCUACAGAGAUCCCGGCGUACUUAAGCAGGUAGUAAUGAUGGACAGGUGAGGCUUUAGGCGGCCGCCCUGGGAUCUGAAUUGCCCCUUGGCCCUUAUCGAAGCUGCAGCUGCUUCCGCAUAGCUGCUGUGGUCAAAAAGGAGCCCAGAGUGACAGUUUUCCUUGACGGUCGCCGUUCUGUUUGUUGUAACUGAUCUGCAACAUUUUGGGAAAAUACAGUUCUAUUGUACCUGCCAUCUUUCAGCUGUAGCCAGAGACCUUUAUCAAAAUGGGCUUGUUUCCACAGAACAGCAGAACGGUUGGGGGUUUGCAUAUACAGUUAACCAGCAUAAGACUCGUACUGGGAAAAUCCAGCUGGGAUGUGACACAGCUUAACUGAUAGCUUAAGGCAUCAGUACUGGGACCAAAGGCUGGUCAGAUUUGUAUCAUUCUGAGGACCAACUGAUGGGAACAAUAAAAUUGUUCAUGACAGUUGUUCUCAUUUUGCUGUCCAGAUGAAGACUCUUAAGAUGACAGAAGGUGAUUUUUCUGGUGAUCGAGGAGUUCCGGGGUCAUGACAGUGAUGAAAUGCAGGGGACCUGGUAGGUUUCUUUUGGAGACUGACUGGGGGCUGCCUGGUGGGACAGAACAGCAUGUUUCCAAGGGCUGUGGCUGGUCAUAGCCAUGGGAUCUCCAACUGCAUGCAAGAGCAACCUGGAAAGACUUUGACAGCGCAGGUCAGUACAAUACCUGCAAGCUGCCACUCAGCUUUCCUAUAAUGUUUCAGGACCAGGGCUGGAAGCCUUCCAUGUGUCAACUUCAAUGUAGAUGGGUUUUUUUUUUUUUUUUUUUUUUUUUUUUUUGAGACGGAGUCUUGCUCUGUCACCCAGGCUGCUGGAGUGCAGUGGCAUGAUCUCGGCUCACGGCAACCUCUGCCUCCCGGGUUCAAGCGACUCUCCUGCCUCAUCCUCCCGAGUAGCUGGGAUUACAGGUGCCCACCAUCACACCCAGCUAAUUUUCUUGUAUUUUUAGUAGAGAUGGUUUUCACCAUGUUGGCUAGAUGGGUCUCGAACUUCUGACCUCAGGUGAUCCGCCCGACUCGGCCUCCCCUUCCAAGGUGCUGGGAUUACAGGCAUGAGCCACCGCUCCUGGCCAGUUUAGUUUUCACACUAAGCUUUUUGUUCUGCAGGUUGCCCCCAAGUUUCCUGGCAGUGUGUGAUACUGAGGAGGUGAGCUUGUUUCUGGAGCUGUGCUUUAAGAUUCAUGUUACAUGUAAAGCUGUCCUCAUUUGUGACUAUGGACCUAUGGAGUUGGGACAAUCUCUAUGGGAAGCAGAAGGCAAGGACCCCAGUCAUUUUAGGUAGAAACAACAGCAUGCUAAUGCAAAAAAUUAUGCAGUGUGCUACUGAACUUCAGAGGUGAUCAAUAAAAGAAUAAAAAGACUAAUAAAAG